RNAcentral lists this ribosomal RNA (378 nucleotides) under Epipyxis pulchra. RNAcentral's name for it is "partial small subunit ribosomal RNA". It matches the Rfam family "Eukaryotic small subunit ribosomal RNA", at positions 30 to 427 of the family's 1831-position model. The record is from RNAcentral. Lineage: Eukaryota; Chrysophyceae; Chromulinales; Dinobryaceae.
GCUUGUCUCAAAGAUUAAGCCAUGCAUGUCUAAGUAUAAACAAAUUUAUAGUGAAACUGCGAAUGGCUCAUUAUAUCAGUUAUAGUUUAUUUGGCGAUAAAAACUACUUGGAUAACCGUAGUAAUUCUAGAGCUAAUACAUGCAUCAUCCCCCAUCUCGGGGUGUAUUUAUUAGAUUGAAACCAAUGCGGGUUCCCCGGUAUUUGGUGAUUCAUAAUAACUUUCGGAUCGACUUCGGUCGAUGCAUCAUUCAAGUUUCUGCCCUAUCAGCUUUGGAUGGUAGGGUAUUGGCCUACCAUGGCUUUAACGGGUAACGGAGAAUUAGGGUUCGAUUCCGGAGAGGGAGCCUGAGAGACGGCUACCACAUCCAAGGAAGGCA